UACGGAGGAUCCGAGCGUUAUCCGGAUUUAUUGGGUUUAAAGGGUGCGCAGGCGGGAGAUUAAGUCGGCGGUGAAAUUUUGCAGCUCAACUGUAAAAGUGCCUUCGAUACUGGUUUCCUUGAGUGUGGAUGAAGUAGGCGGAAUUUGUGGUGUAGCGGUGAAAUGCUUAGAUAUCACACAGAACACCGAUUGCGAAGGCAGCACACUAAGUCAUUAUUGACGCUGAGGCACGAAAGUGUGGGGAUCAAACAGGAUUAGAUACCCG
RNAcentral lists this ribosomal RNA (265 nucleotides) under uncultured prokaryote. Its description in RNAcentral is "partial 16S ribosomal RNA". It matches the Rfam family "Bacterial small subunit ribosomal RNA", at positions 524 to 788 of the family's 1533-position model. The record is from RNAcentral.